AGAGUUUGAUCAUGGCUCAGGACGAACGCUGGCGGCGUGCUUAAUACAUGCAAGUCGAGCGAGGUUACUGCAUCAGAUUCCUUCGGGAUGAAGAAGCUUUAACCUAGCGGCGGACGGGUGAGUAACGCGUGGGUAACCUGCCCUAGAGAUCGGGAUAACAGCGGGAAACUGCUGCUAAUACCGGAUGUCUCUACGAGAAGGCAUCUUUUAGUAGAGAAAGCGAUAGCGCUCUAGGAUGGGCCCGCGUCCCAUUAGCUAGUUGGUGAGGUAACGGCUCACCAAGGCGACGAUGGGUAGCCGGCCUGAGAGGGUGGACGGCCACACUGGGACUGAGACACGGCCCAGACUCCUAUGGGAGGCAGCAGUAGGGAAUAUUGCGCAAUGGAGGAAACUCUGACGCAGCGACGCCGCGUGAGCGAUGAAGGUUUUCGGAUCGUAAAGCUCUGUCCUUGGGGAAGAAGGUCUUCGGACUUGACGGUACCCAAGAAGAAAGCCCCGGCUAACUACGUGCCAGCAGCCGCGGUAAUACGUAGGGGGCAAGCGUUGUCCGGAAUUAUUGGGCGUAAAGGGUGCGUAGGCGGCCUUUUAAGUCAGAUGUGAAAGCCCGCGGCUUAACUGCGGGAUUGCAUUUGAAACUGGGAGGCUUGAGUAUCGGAGAGGGUAGUGGAAUUCCCAGUGUAGCGGUGAAAUGCGUAGAUAUUGGGAGGAACACCAGUGGCGAAGGCGACUGCCUGGACGAAAACUGACGCUGAGGCACGAAAGCUAGGGGAGCAAACAGGAUUAGAUACCCUGGUAGUCCUAGCCGUAAACGAUGGGUACUAGGUGUAGGAGGUUUCGAUACCUUCUGUGCCGCAGUUA
RNAcentral lists this ribosomal RNA (858 nucleotides) under uncultured bacterium. Its description in RNAcentral is "bacterial SSU rRNA". It matches the Rfam family "Bacterial small subunit ribosomal RNA", at positions 8 to 854 of the family's 1533-position model. The record is from RNAcentral.